GAAAUACUCCCUCCGUUCCAAAAUAGAUGGCUCAACUUUGUACUAACUUUAAUACUAACUUUAGUAUAAAGUUAGUACAAAGUUGAGUCAUCUAUUUUGGAACGGAGGGAGUAGUAC
This is a non-coding RNA of Triticum aestivum (bread wheat), 117 nucleotides long. NCBI's taxonomy places the organism in Eukaryota, Viridiplantae, Streptophyta, Magnoliopsida, Poales, Poaceae. The record is from Rfam.